GACGAACGCUGGCGGCGUGCUUAACACAUGCAAGUCGAACGAAGAGCGAUGGAAGCUUGCUUCUAUCAAUCUUAGUGGCGAACGGGUGAGUAACGCGUAAUCAACCUGCCCUUCAGAGGGGGACAACAGUUGGAAACGACUGCUAAUACCGCAUACGAUCUAAUCUCGGCAUCGAGGAUAGAUGAAAGGUGGCCUCUACAUGUAAGCUAUCACUGAAGGAGGGGAUUGCGUCUGAUUAGCUAGUUGGAGGGGUAACGGCCCACCAAGGCGAUGAUCAGUAGCCGGUCUGAGAGGAUGAACGGCCACAUUGGGACGGAGACACGGCCCAGACUCCUACGGGAGGCAGCAGUGGGGAAUCUUCCGCAAUGGACGAAAGUCUGACGGAGCAACGCCGCGUGAGUGAUGACGGCCUUCGGGUUGUAAAGCUCUGUUAAUCGGGACGAAAGGCCUUCUUGCGAAUAGUGAGAAGGAUUGACGGUACCGGAAUAGAAAGCCACGGCUAACUACGUG
RNAcentral lists this ribosomal RNA (510 nucleotides) under uncultured bacterium. RNAcentral describes it as "partial 16S ribosomal RNA". It matches the Rfam family "Bacterial small subunit ribosomal RNA", at positions 28 to 507 of the family's 1533-position model. The record is from RNAcentral.